Chinchilla lanigera (long-tailed chinchilla) is the source of this 480-nucleotide long non-coding RNA. RefSeq lists it as uncharacterized. The record is from RefSeq and is a predicted model, not a curated record. The transcript is spliced from 3 exons. NCBI's taxonomy places the organism in Eukaryota, Metazoa, Chordata, Mammalia, Rodentia, Chinchillidae.
UAGGCCUCUAUUAAUUUCCUGUUGAAAGAAAUAAGAGCUUGGCUGUGGGCCAUCUGUGUGCCAUGAAUCAAUUCCUGGAAACAUCCAAAGGAAAUUCGGAAUUGCACUUACCUGACACUUUCUGCACCAUCUGUUCCAGUUUUGCCAUUCAGUCUGUUCAUGGGGCUGCUGAGAACCACAGGGAUUCUACACAGCCUCCACCGCAGCGCGGCUCCCAUGGACAUUGUUGAAGAUUCAUUUCCCUUGUGUUCUGCUGCCAAUUUGGGCGGUGGAGGACUUCACAGAAGACUUGGUGAGGUUACAAAGAGGCUGCAGCUUGCCAGUAAGACCUAGAUCUAGCAGACAUUCCAUUCUUCUGGGUUUUCACUGGUCUUGUUUUCCUGCAUCAGUGUUCCCAUAUAGAGAGUAUCUCCUUCGCGGUAUAUUUAAGAAAGAAGGAAGGUAUUGUUGAAAAUGUCUGCAGCCAGGGAUGACUGCCUG